ACAACGGAGAGUUUGAUCCUGGCUCAGGACGAACGCUGGCGGCGUGCUUAACACAUGCAAGUCUACGAGAAAGUGUCUUUCGGGAUGCAAGUAAAGUGGCGCACGGGUGAGUAACACGUAAGCAAUCUACCCUUAGGUUUGGAAUAACUCCGAGAAAUCGGGGCUAAUACCAAAUGAUGCAGCGAUACCACAUGGUAAUGCUGUUAAAGUCUAUACGGCGCCUAAUGACGAGCUUGCGUCUGAUUAGCUUGUUGGUAAGGUAAUGGCUUACCAAGGCAACGAUCAGUAGCUGGUCUGAGAGGAUGAUCAGUCACACUGGAACUGAGACACGGUCCAGACUCCUACGGGAGGCAGCAGUGAGGAAUAUUGGGCAAUGGGCGAAAGCCUGACCCAGCAACGCCGCGUGGAGGAUGAAUGUCGUAAGAUUGUAAAC
Molecule: ribosomal RNA, 433 nt
Filed under: Ignavibacteriota bacterium
Lineage: Bacteria; Pseudomonadati; Ignavibacteriota
Description: bacterial SSU rRNA
Rfam family: Bacterial small subunit ribosomal RNA
Source: RNAcentral